Non-coding RNA from Cucumis melo (muskmelon), 110 nucleotides. The record is from Rfam. NCBI's taxonomy places the organism in Eukaryota, Viridiplantae, Streptophyta, Magnoliopsida, Cucurbitales, Cucurbitaceae.
GAAGCUAUGAUAACAGAAGACUUUGAUGUGUUACGGGCAGUGGACGUAACUUUUAAUGAAGUUAUGUCGUGAGCCUAUAUAAUAAACGAUUUCUCAUUCCACUGAGCUUC